Molecule: ribosomal RNA, 223 nt
Filed under: uncultured bacterium
Lineage: Bacteria
Description: partial 16S ribosomal RNA
Rfam family: Bacterial small subunit ribosomal RNA
Source: RNAcentral
CGUAGGUAACCUGCCUGGUAGCGGGGGGUAACUAUUGGAAACGAUAGCUAAUACCGCAUAACAGUCGACAUUGCAUGAUGUUGAUUUGAAAGGGGCAAUUGCUCCACUACCAGAUGGACCUGCGUUGUAUUAGCUAGUUGGUGAGGUAACGGCUCACCAAGGCGACGAUACAUGGCCGACCUGAGAGGGUGAUCGGCCACACUGGGACUGAGACACGGCCCAG